GCGCCAAGCCUCCUUCCUAUUUUUUCAUUUGGCCUUCAACAGGUGCCACGACCAAAUCCAAAUCCCCCAAACCUAAAUCCUCUCACGCUCUCCCUCCGCCGCCGCCCACUAGCUAGCAGCCCGCACGCCGUCGACCACCCGCCGUCUCCAGCACGCCGUCACCUGUCUCCUUCAUCCUCCUGCACCCCCACUACUUAGGCCCCGAACACUUCUAACCUUAGCUUGUGCGCUGGAGUUCGGGGAGAGGCCAAGGCGCAGUGGUGGACGCCGCCAUCCCUCUCAGAUCCGGGGCUUAGAGAGGGAGGGAGGGAGGGAGAGGGAGGGAGAGGUGGGUCACCUACGAGAUAGAGCACUCGCACCCUCGCUCGUCAGUUAUCACCCAGGGGCCGCCACCACCGCCGCCACGCAAUGGGCUUCCUCCGAUCUACGCUCGCCGGUUCGUUUGAAGAUGGAUCUGGCCGUUGACUGCUGGUGCUUCCCCUCCCCGGGUGAUCAGUCAUGACUUGGGAUAGUACUUCUAUCCAGCAAGCAGCGUUUUGGAUGUGAGCUCCAGCUCAAGCAGAGCAAUAAAAAACAGGGGCUCUAUCUGCUAAUGGGGUAGCCGGCAAUGCAGUCUAAGAGCUACAUCUCGUGUGAUUUCUGGAUAUGAGAACUUGAGAAGAACAAGCUUGAUGCUAUUAUUGAAAAAAAUAAUCUAUGCUACAGGAUUCUUCUUUGCACCCCGUACACUUAGACGGAGUGGGAGGCUACCGCAGCGGCGCUAGGCUUGGAGCCCAAGCCAUCCGACGCCGCCAACAGGUGCUGACAGUCUGACGCCUUCAGAAUUGGCUCUCAAAACUUUCAACCAAGAUUAGAGCUAGCAUACAGUUUGCAGUUUAUAGUCAUACUCAUACUCAAUGAGUCCCUACCUUGGCUUCUGGGCAAGAUAUUCUUUAAUUUUAGAAGUUGCGGAAGUGUAAUGCUGACUCUACUCGAAUGAUGAUUAUCCCUACGUGCAUAACAUAUUAUAAAGAGAUCUUCCUACAUGCCCCUUUUUUGAUUAGGAACCACUAUUGUUCAGGAAUUUUGAGUGGCGCACAUCCUGGUCUGGCGAGCCGAUGAUCGGACAUCAUUUGUCAAGGAAGCAAAAAGGACUACUCGCAAGGAACCAUGAAGCCAACGAUCCACGUCAAGUAGAUGUUUUAGUUUUCAUUUUGUACAGCUGAUGUCUCAUACUUGCAUCUUUUGGUUGUCCUUUUGUAAACCUGAUGUAUGGUUUCUCGGUGGUUUUGUUUAGAACAGAUUGAAGUAUAUGUAUGUGCCAAUUAGUUAAUGGAAUAAAAAAUGUUUGGUGCUCCCGAUUUGAGCCUGA
Molecule: long non-coding RNA, 1351 nt
Organism: Aegilops tauschii subsp. strangulata
Lineage: Eukaryota; Viridiplantae; Streptophyta; Magnoliopsida; Poales; Poaceae
Source: RefSeq, a predicted model, not a curated record